RNAcentral lists this long non-coding RNA (577 nucleotides) under Pan troglodytes (chimpanzee). RNAcentral's name for it is "long non-coding RNA NONPTRT010643". The record is from RNAcentral. Lineage: Eukaryota; Metazoa; Chordata; Mammalia; Primates; Hominidae.
GACGCAUCGGUGCUGGAGAGUUGAGAAUAUGCCUUCCCCUCCACCCUCAACCCAGUCACCUUAUUUGAAAAAAAAUUAAAAAACACCUUUUAUUUAAAAACCUAACCCUGGAAGUUUGCUCGGAAAAUGGAAAUCAACAUUUGAAACUUUUAAAUGGAAGCUUUAUUGGGUUUCCACAUAUGGAAAACUGCAAAUAGCAGAAGUAUGUGACUCAAUAAAUUAUUCUGGAGUGACCACAUCCUCUAACUGCCUCCCAGGACAAGAAGGAGAAUGUGAACAAUGCUCCUGAAGGCCCCUUUCCCUCAAAGAAUCACUGCAAUUGAAGGAAAAAUGCUCCAUGUCCCCUCUGCCAGUUGGUGUUUAUCAAAGGACAACGGAGGAAGAGAGACAAAGUGCCUGGAUGUGUGUGUUAAUCAAGAGUUGUCAGGACCCUGCCUCUAAAAGAAAGCGCUAAAAUGAUGCUUUUGACAAGACUUUUCUCAAAGUGGAUGCAGUCUAAGGGUUGGAAAACAAGGCCCAAUCAGGCUAGGUCUGACUUGUCGCCUGCUUUUGUAAAUAAAGUUUUAUUGGCUCACAG